UACGUAGGGGGCAAGCGUUGUCCGGAAUCAUUGGGCGUAAAGCGCGCGUAGGCGGCUCGAUCAGUCUGCUGUGAAAGUCAAAGGCUCAACCUUUGAAUGCCGGUGGAUACUGUCGAGCUAGAGUCCGGAAGAGGCGAGUGGAAUUCCUGGUGUAGCGGUGGAAUGCGCAGAUAUCAGGAGGAACACCAAUAGCGAAGGCAGCUCGCUGGGACGGUACUGACGCUAAGGCGCGAAAGCGUGGGGAGCGAACAGG
Molecule: ribosomal RNA, 253 nt
Filed under: uncultured bacterium
Lineage: Bacteria
Description: partial 16S ribosomal RNA
Rfam family: Bacterial small subunit ribosomal RNA
Source: RNAcentral